ACGGGUGAGUAACGCGUGGGUAACCUGCCCUAUGGAAAGGAAUAGCCUCGGGAAACUGGGAGUAAUGCCUUAUAAGAUACAUUUGUCGCAUGGCAGAAGUAUUAAACGCUCCGGUGCCAUAGGAUGGACCCGCGUCCCAUUAGCUAGUUGGUGAGAUAACAGCCCACCAAGGCGACGAUGGGUAACCGGUCUGAGAGGGCGAACGGUCACACUGGAACUGAGACACGGUCCAGACUCCUACGGGAGGCAGCAGUGGGGAAUAUUGCGCAAUGGGGGAAACCCUGACGCAGCUAUACCGCGUGAGUGAAGAAGGUUUUCGGAUCGUAAAGCUCUGUUAUUGGGGAAGAAAAAAGACAGUACCCAAGAAGAAAGUCCCGGCUAACUACGUGCCAGCAGCCGCGGUAAUACGUAGGGGACAAGCGUUGUCCGGAUUUACUGGGCGUAAAGGGCACGCAGGCGGUUUUUUAAGCCAGAUGUGAAAGGUACCGGCUCAACCGGUGACAUGCAUUUGAAACUGAAAGACUUGAGUAUUGGAGAGGCAAGUGGAAUUCCUAGU
This 556-nucleotide ribosomal RNA is filed under the name uncultured bacterium. Its description in RNAcentral is "bacterial SSU rRNA". It matches the Rfam family "Bacterial small subunit ribosomal RNA", at positions 102 to 674 of the family's 1533-position model. The record is from RNAcentral.